This 329-nucleotide ribosomal RNA is filed under the name uncultured bacterium. RNAcentral describes it as "bacterial SSU rRNA". It matches the Rfam family "Bacterial small subunit ribosomal RNA", at positions 8 to 334 of the family's 1533-position model. The record is from RNAcentral.
AGAGUUUGAUUCUGGCUCAGGAUGAACGCUGGCGGCGUGCUUAACACAUGCAAGUCGAACGGGAUCCAUCGGGCUUUGCUUGGUGGUGAGAGUGGCGAACGGGUGAGUAAUGCGUGACCGACCUGCCCCAUGCUCCGGAAUAGCUCCUGGAAACGGGUGGUAAUGCCGGAUGUUCCACAUGAUCGCAUGUGAUUGUGGGAAAGAUUCUAUCGGCGUGGGAUGGGGUCGCGUCCUAUCAGCUUGUUGGUGAGGUAACGGCUCACCAAGGCUUCGACGGGUAGCCGGCCUGAGAGGGCGACCGGCCACAUUGGGACUGAGAUACGGCCCAG